GGGGCCACAUCCCGGCGGGGCGGUCUGGCUUGGCCCUUGGGGGGGGCCCUGGCUUUAAAAAAAAACUGAAGCUCGUGGCGCGGGCGGCAUCAGCAGGGGGUGAUCUGGGGCGCCAUGGGGGGCUAGGUUGGGGUGCCUGGGGGCCGGCGGGGGUAACUCCCAGCGGCCCCCUGGUGCCUUAUGCGGCUUGGGGUGUGGUCGUCCUCCCUGGGCGGGCUGCUCCUGGUGCUGCAUCCAUUCCGGGUCCUUCUGGCCUGGGGUCGGGCCCCUGCUGGCUCUGGGCUCGCCGGCGGGUGCCCGCCGGCUGCCCGUUCGGCGCGGCUCUGGUCGUCUGCUGGGCGUGGGCUUCGGUUCCUCCGCUGGGGCCUCGGGCAGGGAGUUCUCUGGGCCCUCCCCUCGGGGGGUUGGGCGCGGGGGUGUGUGUGGGGGGGGGGGGUCGGUGGGGUGGGGGGUCUGGGGGUUGGGGGUGGGAUCGGUGGCGUGGUGCGCUGGGUCCUUGGCUCCUUGGGGCUUUCUCGGGUGUGUAUGGGGGGGGGCGAUGGCUGCCUCUCGGCUUGGGACCUUGGGGGCGUGCGGGGGGCUGCUUGGCCGUGGGGUGGUCGCCGGGGGCCCUUAGGCUGCCCGCUCUCGCUGCUGGCCUGACUGCUUCUUCGGGCCCGGGGGCGGCUCGUGGGUUUUGCAGUGGCGGUUCUUGGAAAUACAUUUGUCAUGUAUGCACUGGCCUUGGGCUGUGGGAUAACACUCAUACUGGGCUCAACCUUAGACACCUUGUUCCCAAAUACCUGUUUUAUGGAAUUUCCACUCACCUCUUCCUCUGUUCACAGCCACCACUAUUAUUCCUAAACCGCACACUGGUCACCAAACUGCACAAUAUACACAACCACAAUUUCACAUCGCAUCACUUGGAACCUAACAACUAUUCCCCACUCAUUCCAUAUCCUAUCUUGUAUCCCUCUUCCCUGUUAACUUCCCCACCCCCCUCCAACCCCUCACCUUGGUGUAAACACUGCCCUCUCUUUUUUUACAUCCUCCCUUUAAUAAAGUAUUUCUUACCCUUCCCUAGGGAGGGCUGGUGAUGGUCACAAUUAUGCAAUGAAAUAAAUAAAUUUAUUUAAUUGCAAUAAUAAAAUAUGCAUUGCUGUUAAAAGAUUGCACUUCUUGUAGUGUUAACCUUCGACAGCAUGUGCAGACAAGGUAAAAAAAAAAAAAAAAAAAAAAAAAAAAAAAAAAAAAAAAAAAAAAAAAAAAAAAAAAAAAAAAAAAUUGUAAUAGCUGUAACUGAUACAAACAUAAGGAAAAAGCUUUCAGGUUAUAAAAGUAGAUCUAGUUUUCUGUUUGGUUAAUGCCUAAGUUUACAGAUUAUUA
Molecule: long non-coding RNA, 1365 nt
Filed under: Gouania willdenowi (blunt-snouted clingfish)
Lineage: Eukaryota; Metazoa; Chordata; Actinopteri; Blenniiformes; Gobiesocidae
Description: lncRNA (ENSGWIG00000024863.1)
Source: RNAcentral